This is a microRNA precursor of Gorilla gorilla gorilla (western lowland gorilla), 97 nucleotides long. The record is from Ensembl. NCBI's taxonomy places the organism in Eukaryota, Metazoa, Chordata, Mammalia, Primates, Hominidae.
CAAGUUGGCACUGUAGAAUAUUGAGGAAAGGAUGGUCUUAUUGCAAAGAUUUUCAAUAAGACCAUCCUUUCCUCAAUAUUCUGUGGUGUCAUCUUUG